This 464-nucleotide ribosomal RNA is filed under the name uncultured Planctomycetaceae bacterium. Its description in RNAcentral is "bacterial SSU rRNA". It matches the Rfam family "Bacterial small subunit ribosomal RNA", at positions 337 to 796 of the family's 1533-position model. The record is from RNAcentral. Lineage: Bacteria; Pseudomonadati; Planctomycetota; Planctomycetia; Planctomycetales; Planctomycetaceae.
UCCUACGGGUGGCAGCAGUCGAGGAUCUUCGGCAAUGGGCGCAAGCCUGACCGAGCGACGCCGCGUGCGGGAUGAAGGCCUUCGGGUUGUAAACCGAUGUCAGUGGGGAGGAAAUGCCGGAGGGUUCUCCCUUCGGUUUGACCUAUCCGCAGAGGAAGGACGGGCUAAGUUCGUGCCAGCAGCCGCGGUAAGACGAACCGUCCAAACGUUAUUCGGAUUUACUGGGCUUAAAGGGUGCGUAGGCGGCCCGGAAAGUUGGGUGUGAAAGCCCUCGGCUUAACCGAGGAACUGCGCCCAAAACUACCGGGCUUGAGGGAGAUAGAGGUGAGCGGAACUUAGGGUGGAGCGGUGAAAUGCGUUGAUAUCCUAAGGAACACCUGUGGCGAAAGCGGCUCACUGGGUCUCUUCUGACGCUGAGGCACGAAAGCCAGGGGAGCGAACGGGAUUAGAUACCCUUGUAGUCC